Molecule: ribosomal RNA, 468 nt
Filed under: uncultured bacterium
Lineage: Bacteria
Description: partial 16S ribosomal RNA
Rfam family: Bacterial small subunit ribosomal RNA
Source: RNAcentral
GACGAACGCUGGCGGCGUGCUUAACACAUGCAAGUCGAACGGAAAGGCCCUGCUUUUGUGGGGUGCUCGAGUGGCGAACGGGUGAGUAACACGUGAGUAACCUGCCCUUGACUUUGGGAUAACUUCAGGAAACUGGGGCUAAUACCGGAUAGGAGCUCCUGCUGCAUGGUGGGGGUUGGAAAGUUUCGGCGGUUGGGGAUGGACUCGCGGCUUAUCAGCUUGUUGGUGGGGUAGUGGCUUACCAAGGCUUUGACGGGUAGCCGGCCUGAGAGGGUGACCGGCCACAUUGGGACUGAGAUACGGCGCAGACUCCUACGGGAGGCAGCAGUGGGGAAUAUUGCACAAUGGGCGGAAGCCUGAUGCAGCAACGCCGCGUGCGGGAUGACGGCCUUCGGGUUGUAAACCGCUUUCGCCUGUGACGAAGCGUGAGUGACGGUAAUGGGUAAAGAAGCACCGGCUAACUACGUG